This is a long non-coding RNA of Culex pipiens pallens (northern house mosquito), 962 nucleotides long. RefSeq lists it as uncharacterized. The record is from RefSeq and is a predicted model, not a curated record. The transcript has 3 exons. Lineage: Eukaryota; Metazoa; Arthropoda; Insecta; Diptera; Culicidae.
GCGCGUACGAAGCAGCCCCCUGUUCAACGUCAUUCGUCUUUGUUUGUGUUGCUUUGUCAGGUGCCCGUGCUGUCGCUUGGCAAGAAUCAGAAGUUGUAAACAAACUGAAGCAAGCGGGAGCACGGGCGCAGCUGGGAACGAGAAUCCGUUCCAGCUGUGAAAAGACACCGAAGUUCUUUUUAGCGUACGGAAAAUGGAAGGAAGUUUCAUUUCGUUCAGCUCAGAAAACUGGUGCCCGUCACUCUUCAGCCGCUCGUUUCAACACCUGUCAAUCGCAAUUUUAUAGAGCGAAUGUCCAGUUUGGUGGAAACUGCGACUGGAAAUGUAAAUAAACAACUGCUGGUUGCCUAGUUUUUGGAAAUUUUGUUGUCAAAAGUGUGAGAGAAAAGUGCGGGCAAAAUCCAAGUUACAGUGCAAGGAUCAAUACAAGGGGUCAACUUUGGCUUUUUUUUCCAACAGUUCCUUUGUUCAUGUAAAAAUAAGUAUGCAGUAUUUUUUUUGUGAUAUUACAGACUAAGUAAAAGUAAGCGCAUUUUUUUACAACUUAAUUGAUAAUAGUAAUUCUAUAGCCAACAAUGUAGAGAACCAGCAAAAAUUCAAAAAGUUUACUUUUAAAUUAUUUUGACGAACAACAAAUAAAUCACUUGUAAGUUAUUUGGACGAAUAAGCCAAAUACUUUCAAAAUCAAACAUAAGCUAAAUCAAAUAAAUGCUAAUUGAAAUACUUAAAAAAAAACAUGAAGCAAUAGAAGAUUUUUUUUCCGAAGAGCAAAUGUUGCUCAAAACCUCCUAGAAAUACAAAAAAAAAAUGGGCAAAUCAUAAAUUAAACUUUUGAUGCAAAAAAAUUUACUAUAAAGAAUAAAUUUAGGAAUAUUAUUUAUCAAACUACAUGAAUCAAACGUAAAUCUCAUAAAUCAACAAUUUUACCGUCAAUUUGUAUGAUCUGAAAUUCAGCAAUGCAG